RNAcentral lists this ribosomal RNA (486 nucleotides) under uncultured bacterium. RNAcentral describes it as "partial 16S ribosomal RNA". It matches the Rfam family "Bacterial small subunit ribosomal RNA", at positions 28 to 507 of the family's 1533-position model. The record is from RNAcentral.
GACGAACGCUGGCGGCGUGCUUAACACAUGCAAGUCGAACGCUGAAGACCUGGCUUUUGUUGGGUUGGUUGAGUGGCGAACGGGUGAGUAACACGUGAGUAACCUUCCCUCUUCUUUGGGAUAACGCCCGGAAACGGGUGCUAAUACUGGAUAUUCACUAAUCUUCGCAUGGGGGUUUGUUGUUAGGUUUGUUCUGGUUGGGGAUGGGCUCGCGGCCUAUCAGCUUGUUGGUGGGGUCAUGGCCUACCAAGGCUUUGACGGGUAGCCGGCCUGAGAGGGUGACCGGUCACAUUGGGAGAGAGAUAAGGCCCAGACUCAUACGGGAGGCAGAAGUGGAGAAUAUGGCAAAAUAGGCAAAAGCCUGAUGCAGCGACGCCGCGUGAGGGAUGGAGGCCUUCGGGUUGAAAACCUCUUUCGAUCAUGGUAAAGCCGCAAAUGUGGGUUGUGGUGAGGGUAGUGGGUAAAGAAGCGCCGGCUAACUACGUG